RNAcentral lists this long non-coding RNA (3473 nucleotides) under Capsicum annuum. RNAcentral's name for it is "long non-coding RNA (CANN_LNC006105)". The record is from RNAcentral. Lineage: Eukaryota; Viridiplantae; Streptophyta; Magnoliopsida; Solanales; Solanaceae.
CCAUUAAUUUGGACUACAAAUGAUGAGCCCAAAAUGAGCGCCACAUGUCAAAUGAUGUGCAUGCCAAGUCAAGGGAAGUAACCAAUAGAACCAUGCCAUGUGUCAAAAUGAUGCAGCAAGUCUAGUGAAAUCAAAAGCCCAUAAAAGACGCCACAUCACUUGAAUUUAAUUGGUCAAAGAAAGUUUAACUUCAUCAUGACUCUUCUCUUUCCAUAACGGGGAUUCAUAAUUCAAAAAAAGGGACCAACAACACUAUCAAAAAGCAAGAGAAAGCACUUGAUCACCAAAAGAUUCAAAUUCAAGUUCAUCAAGACCAAAAGAUUCAAGCUCAACCUCAAGCCCAAAAACCUUGAAUUCAAGUACAAGUCAAGAUCAAGUCCGUCAAAUUUCCAAAUUAAGUUCAAAUUCAAGAUCAAGCUUUAAGCCUUUGAAUUUAUAUUUAAAAGGACGAAUCAGAGGAUUUAUAGAGAUUGUAAUAUUCACUUAUUGAAAUUAAUAAAACAAUUGUUGCAGUAUUUUUCUUGUCUCGAUUAUUAUUUUCGAUCACGAAAUUUUAUUGUCCAAUAAAUUUUGGGUUGCACUUUUGAUUAUUAUAUAGGCUCAUAAACAUAUGAUCGUAAUUCUCAAUUUUUCUUUAAUCCCACUGUUUCAUUUUGGCUGAACUAUUUAAAUCCCGAUACCCAAGCUCCCAAUCCCACUUUUACUUUUCUUAAACCCUAAAUCCCCAAUUUCCUCCUACCUCGCUAGAAACCCUAAAUCCCCAAUUUCCUCCUACCUCGCAAGUUUACUUUUGAUUGCUGUCAUAACCCUAUUCCAUUGUUUUAGGACUUAUUUCAUUAUUGCUGAUGUGUAUUUAUGGUUACACUAUGCAUUUUUUUUUUUCUUUUUUCUGUUGUUAGAGUUACUUCUUCGUUUCAAUUAUUAUCUUAUUACGGAGCACAGAUUUUAUUCAACUUAAUAAUUGUAUUUUUUCCGUGCUAAGACCUAAAGAAAUAAUGUUCUUUUUCUUUGUUUUCCGAGAGAAAAAUUACAUAGCUAUGGAGUGUACGGGUUGUGUUUCGGUUGAUUAUAGUUCUUCUCGUAGUGGUUGUGUUGUGGGUGAGUAUUUUUCGAAGUGGAGGAUUUGGAAUUUUUGUGUGGGUGUGUGAUGGAAUUCAAGGUCUUCGAGUUAAACUCAGUGAGUUGAAUCGUGAUGAUCACAUUAAAUGAAUUUCUGAUAAUUUGGCGUUCUGAAUCUGAACCUAUUAUAACUUAACUGUAGCUGUAUAUACCAUUAUACAAUAUAAGUUAUCUAUAUCAGUUGUAGAUUUGUGUAAGUCUAUCUUUAUACAACUUGAUUUGUUAUUAGGAACUCUAUUCGUAUGUUUUAGUCUUAAAGAAAUUGCGCAAAAUGCUAGGCGGUUUCUUGUUACCGUUGAAGGCAUAGGUAUGUUGUUUGUUGAUUUUAUUUUGAGGUUGAUUUGUUAAGAGAUUUUUGAUUUGCUGUAUGUACAAUCUGUAUCCAUGUCUAUGAGCGAAAAUGAUCAUCUAAAUAAAAUUAGUAAUCUAAAGCCUUAAAUAUGUAUAAAUAUACGGAAAAAAAAAGUAAUGAUUAGCUAUCUUCUUUAAUCAUACAUACUAUUCACUUUUAAUAGUCUUAAAAACAUAAAUUGUUUUACUUCAAAUAGUAAUACUUGUAGACACCUAAUUUCGUCCCUCUCCGAUGUUAUUUUAUCCAUUUUUACCGUAUCUAUCGUGUACCUUCACUUGUGUGAUGAUCCCUCCACAAAUAACAAAAAUAACAAUCCCCUAACUAAUUUUGUAUUAUCCUAGCAAUCUACCCAAAUAAAAAUAGACACCUAAUCCUUAUUCCUCCAAUUAAAAAACAACACUUACCUAUCCUAUCCUAACAACCCAUCCAAUAAAAAAAAAAAAAAAACCAUCACACCCUACCCCCUACCCCACCUACCCUAUCCCACUACCCCACCCUCACCUAAUGUAUACACUACACCUCACGGGAUUGGGGGAGGAAGCAGAACAUUCCAAUUUUUCUUUUCUUCUUCACAGGACACACAAAGGGGCCAUACACAGACCGGGGGGGGGGGGGGUGUCUCCUCUUCCAUUUGACAGAGAAGGAAGAUCGCUUCUUCCAUCGUGACUCCCCAAUUUUCUAUUGAUUACACAGACCCACACUAUUUUUCUCAAAGUUCCCAUCAAUAUACACAUAUAUAUAAAAUCAGAGAGCUGAAAGAGAGUGACGAAGGGAAGAUAGUUGAGAGAGAUAAAGAGAAAGAGAGGAGAUCGAGAGGGAGACGGUAGGUUCGAGCUUCUCCGGUGAGCUCAUCAUCGGACCAGACCAUUUCUUCAUCAUUUUCUAAUUCUACCAGCUCAAAGUCGCACAUAUACAGCUACACGAAAUCACCAAGCCAUGGGAGAGAGAUUCGAGAUCGAGAGAUGAGGGAGAAUGGGUAAGAAAUUUGGUCUUGGUUUGAGUCUUUCGGAGAGAUUCAGCCCCUGUUUGAGCUUCUCCGGUGAAACUUUUUUGUCAAAAUCUACCACUGGUUCAUGUUCAGCUGGUUUCUAGCCUUCGAAAGCUUGAAGUUCCUUUAGUUUCUUUUUUUAUUUCUAAGAAUAAAUCGGGAAACGCUCGAGUUGGUGGGUUCUAUUGAGAUUUGACGUCUCGGGUCAUAAUUUCUCGAUACCGAGUUGAGAUUCACUCACUGUCCUUAGUAAUUUUUGGAUUUUUGAAUCUGAUUUUUUGGAAAGUUGGUUGAUCCGAGUUGUGGGUUUGUUGACUGAGGUUCUACUCGGAUAUUUGGACGUAGUCUUUGUCUUUUCACUCGAUUAAUAUUUGAGUUUGAAAGCUACGAAUCGAGGUCCUCUUUUAUUUAAUGUUUACUAUAUUUGGUGUGUUGGAGUGAAUAUUGUGUUUGGUUGAUGGUUGUGACGUGGUGAUAUGUUUCGAUAUUGUGUUUGAGCAAUCGUGAUUACUGUGGUUGAUAUUGAUUGAUUGAUUCACGUGAAUGAAGGAAUUUAAAGAUUUGAAUUAAUGUGGGAAUAAGUGGGACGAGAAUUGAAAACUUGAUAUAAUUGGUGAAUUUUGAUUAGUUUGAUUCAUUAGUUGUUUGACUUGAAAUGAACGUUAAUUGAAUUUGAUAGUAUCAAGAUACGCCGAUUGGAAUAGGUAAGAUGUAGGUCGGGUAGGCAAAUCUAGAGAUUGUGGGUUGAUUGAAUGUUUGAAAUUUGAUUGAAUGAUUUGAUUUUAAUUUUUUGGAUCAAUUGUAUAAUUUGGCCGGGGAAUGCCCCGAAGUAUCUGUAUAUAUUUAUUCACCGGGGAAUGCCCCGAGGUAUCAUGUACCCGGAGGACGUUCGUGGUGAAGGCCCGAGGCGUCGGGUAGAGCAUUAAUUUAGGAUUAGCGUAGGUUUACUUUCAGUCCCUUUUAUUUCGGGUUGUAAUAAUUGGACUGGACUUUACAUUUCGGACUGUUUUGUUU